GCACUUCUGAGGAGUCGCAUACUAAGAGGAAACGGCCGUCCAGUAC
This 46-nucleotide non-coding RNA is filed under the name Schistosoma margrebowiei. The record is from RNAcentral. Lineage: Eukaryota; Metazoa; Platyhelminthes; Trematoda; Strigeidida; Schistosomatidae.